GAUGAACGCUGGCGGCGUGCCUAAUACAUGCAAGUCGAGCGAACAGACGAGGAGCUUGCUCCUUCGACGUUAGCGGCGGACGGGUGAGUAACACGUAGGUAACCUACCUAUAAGACUGGGAUAACUUCGGGAAACCGGAGCUAAUACCGGAUAAUAUUUCGAACCGCAUGGUUCGAUAGUGAAAGAUGGCUUUGCUAUCACUUAUAGAUGGACCUGCGCCGUAUUAGCUAGUUGGUAAGGUAACGGCUUACCAAGGCAACGAUACGUAGCCGACCUGAGAGGGUGAUCGGCCACACGGGAACUGAGACACGGUCCAGACUCCUACGGGAGGCAGCAGUAGGGAAUCUUCCGCAAUGGGCGAAAGCCUGACGGAGCAACGCCGCGUGAGUGAUGAAGGUCUUCGGAUCGUAAAACUCUGUUAUUAGGGAAGAACAAACGUGUAAGUAACUGUGCACGUCUUGACGGUACCUAAUCAGAAAGCCACGGCUAACUACGUG
Molecule: ribosomal RNA, 497 nt
Filed under: uncultured bacterium
Lineage: Bacteria
Description: partial 16S ribosomal RNA
Rfam family: Bacterial small subunit ribosomal RNA
Source: RNAcentral